CCUUUAUGAGAGUUUGAUCCUGGCUCAGAACGAACGCUGGCGGCGCGCCUAAUACAUGCAAGUCGAGCGAGAAGACGUAGCAAUACGUUUGUAAAGCGGCGAACGGGUGAGGAAUACAUGGGUAACCUACCCUCGAGUGGGGAAUAACUAGCCGAAAGGUUAGCUAAUACCGCGUACGCUCCUUGGACUUCGGUUCAGGGAGGAAAGCGAUACCGUGGGUAUCGCGCUCUUGGAUGGGCUCAUGUCCUAUCAGCUUGUUGGUGAGGUAACGGCUCACCAAGGCUUCGACGGGUAGCUGGUCUGAGAGGACGAUCAGCCACACUGGCACUGCGACACGGGCC
This 341-nucleotide ribosomal RNA is filed under the name Nitrospirota bacterium. RNAcentral's name for it is "bacterial SSU rRNA". It matches the Rfam family "Bacterial small subunit ribosomal RNA", at positions 1 to 332 of the family's 1533-position model. The record is from RNAcentral. Lineage: Bacteria; Pseudomonadati; Nitrospirota.